This 386-nucleotide ribosomal RNA is filed under the name uncultured Didiniidae. Its description in RNAcentral is "partial small subunit ribosomal RNA". It matches the Rfam family "Eukaryotic small subunit ribosomal RNA", at positions 30 to 429 of the family's 1831-position model. The record is from RNAcentral. Lineage: Eukaryota; Ciliophora; Litostomatea; Haptorida; Didiniidae.
GCUUGUCUCAAAGAUUAAGCCAUGCAUGUCUAAGUGUAAAUACGUCUACACUGUGAAACUGCGAAUGGCUCAUUAAAUCAGUUAUCGUUUAUUUGAUGAUGGUCUACAUGGAUAACCGUAGUAAUUCUAGAGCUAAUACAUGCUGUAAGCCUGACUUUAUGGGAAGGUUGUAUUUAUUAGAUCCCAAACCGAUAGCUUCGGCUAUUGUGACGAAUCAUAAUAACUUGUCGGAUCGGGUAUUACUCGAUGGAUCAUUCAAGUUUCUGCCCUAUCAGCUUUCGAUGGUAGUGUAUUGGACUACCAUGGCGAUAACGGGUAACGGGGAAUUAGGGUUCGAUUCCGGAGAGGGAGCCUGAGAAACGGCUACCACAUCCAAGGAAGGCAGC